This 483-nucleotide ribosomal RNA is filed under the name uncultured bacterium. RNAcentral's name for it is "partial 16S ribosomal RNA". It matches the Rfam family "Bacterial small subunit ribosomal RNA", at positions 28 to 507 of the family's 1533-position model. The record is from RNAcentral.
AUUGAACGCUGCGGCAUGCUUUACACAUGCAAGUCGAACGGCAGCGCGGGCUUCGGCCUGGCGGCGAGUGGCGAACGGGUGAGUAAUGCAUCGGAACGUGCCCAGUAGUGGGGGAUAGCCCGGCGAAAGCCGGAUUAAUACCGCAUACGACCUGAGGGUGAAAGCGGGGGACCGAAAGGCCUCGCGCUAUUGGAGCGGCCGAUGUCGGAUUAGCUAGUUGGUGGGGUAAAGGCUUACCAAGGCGACGAUCCGUAGCUGGUCUGAGAGGACGACCAGCCACACUGGGACUGAGACACGGCCCAGACUCCUACGGGAGGCAGCAGUGGGGAAUUUUGGACAAUGGGGGCAACCCUGAUCCAGCCAUGCCGCGUGCGGGAAGAAGGCCUUCGGGUUGUAAACCGCUUUUGUUCGGGAAGAAAUCCUCUGGGCUAAUACCCCGGGGGGAUGACGGUACCGGAAGAAUAAGCACCGGCUAACUACGUG